Mugil cephalus (flathead mullet) is the source of this 1890-nucleotide long non-coding RNA. RefSeq lists it as uncharacterized. The transcript is spliced from 2 exons. Lineage: Eukaryota; Metazoa; Chordata; Actinopteri; Mugiliformes; Mugilidae. The record is from RefSeq and is a predicted model, not a curated record.
UCCGAUCUGACCACAUCCGUGGUCUAGGUCACAUUUGACCUCAUUCCUGUGGUAAUGUUAAGAAGUGUAAACCAGUGAUUCAUUAAAGUGUCGUGAGAUAUCAACUGGUGUGCUGAGGGAAAUUAACCAAUUUUACUUAACUAGUCAGAAAAUUAUUAUUUAUUUACUGCAAAUAAUUCGACGUGGUUCGUCUAUAACCGCCACGUAUAGUGACAGGCAGAACAAUUGAAUCCUCUUCCACUAGAUGGCAGAAGGUAGAUAAUUAACCUCUCCAUCUACUUGUUGUCAUUCAAACAGAGUAGGUCAUGACGCUUGAAGUGAGACAGCAGUGUUAGAGAUGGAUAAAUACUGGUAAGGAAAAACUGUCUCCGAACUGGGUUCUGGAGACAGUUCUAUCCCAGACUAAGGUCCUAACAUGAUAUGAGUAGUGGCCAGAAGAAAGCAGAACGAGUGAGUUCAAGAUGACACAUGAAAGUUGUCUUUCUUUUUGGAUUUACUGUGAUGUGACUGAAGGUGGGCGUGGGUUGCUGAGGCUCAACGGACUGUGAACAGGUGCGUGUGUGUGAGAGGGAACAGGUGUGUGUGAUUACGGGAGGGAGAGACUUGUGGGUUUGGGAUGGAAGGGUGAAUCUCUCUGUUGGUGCUGGUUGGAGCUCACGUCUGGCGGCUUGGCACUCUCGGGAGGGAGCGGGGUGUCGGUCGUGGCUGUUUAGGGCCGCCGGCGACGAAGACAGCUAGUGCAGGGGGUUAGCUGUUCCUGCGCCAGUAGGGGAGGCUGGACGCCUCUUGUAGAAUAGUCAGGGCCGGGUUUAGUGAGUGCCGGGUCUGCUGCUGCUCCCCACCGCCGUCGAAGCGUCUCUUCCACCGGGUGGAUUGGAUCCGCGCUGUCCAAACGAAGCCGUUUUCUCCGUAGAGUUGGACGGCGUCUCAAGCUCAGACUCUGGGGGGGUCUCGCCGGACGGGCGAAUUGAGUAAUUACUCUUUUAAUUAGGUUAUAUUUGUUACUGUAUUUGAAUGUGUUGGCCUGUGUGGGCGGGAGCGUAGUGGGGACAGCUUACUUGAGCAGGAGCGAGGGAGGGGCUUCCACUUGUCACAUGUGUGCAGUGCUAGGCAGGUGUGUAGUGCAGUGCCUCCAGUAGAGGGUGAUAGCGUGCCGUGUGUGUGGUGUGCCAUAAGUUUGCUGUGAUUUGUAGUGGGUAAUAGUGGGAGUUUUCCAGACUCUUGCAGUGAAGAAUCCUCUUUGGCUGUCGUCGCUCAUCAGCCCCCUGUUUUAUGAACUGCCUUUCGUACCAAAAUAAAGAUUAUUGCAUUUUGUAUAUUCAUAGUCUCUGGGUGAUUUUUGAGGCUCUGACCUGGUGACCUUCACCAUUUUAUUUGAACCCCAAUAUUUAUUACGUUACUUUUACCGGGAAACCGUGCAGACUUAUUCUGCUGUAUGCGUGGAAAAACUGGCCCACUAGGUAACCGUGCCAUGCCCAAAUGUUUGUUCCCUAAAGUCCCGAUUUCAUGGCUAGUGAGAGUGCUUGCGCACCGUGCCCAAGUUAUGGCAGCUUUGCUGGUCACGUACGUGCACAACCGUAAACGUAACCACGCAAGUAGAUUUCACACUAAGUAAAGUGAGUAAAUUGAUGGUGAUAAAAUAAAUGGUAAAUAAAUCAGAAUUUACCGGAAUUAACAUUAAAUUAAAUACAAGUAAACUGUGUGUGAUUCUGCCAUGUGUCUAGUCCAGUCACCAAUGUUUUUAUGUAUCUUCAUUGCCAGAGAUUUUUCGCUCACUGACAGCACAGCACAGCAGUGAAACUAUAGUGCGUGUUGAUUUAUUUAUUUUAGGAAUAUAAUGAGCUUUGUGUAUGACUCUAAAAUAAAGUAAGGGUACAGAUAAAUAACUUU